CGCUAAUAAAAAUCAUUUCCCUGCGAGCGCCAGGGCUGAGUCAGGCUCAGCCACCAGCCAGGACCCAGCGAGGGCGGGCAGGGCUGGAGUCUGCCCGGCUGUGCCCUUGCCAGGAGGGCUCAGGAUGGUUAUCAGCUGCCGGGGGGCAUUAUCAGCUGCAUCUCCCUGGGGACUGUCCCCACUUGCAGCAGCCUAAGGGUGCUGGGGCAAGGCAAGGGCUGGUUAUCCUCAGCACUGCCCUGAUGGUGGCACCUGGGAGGUCUGUCUGUGCCUUGGAGACAGCAGCACGUGGCCCUGGUGCCUUUUCUUCUGCCCCUGUGUCCCACCUGUCACUCUGCAGGCAGCCUUUGCCCACCUGGCCCUGGCUUUUCGCUGCGACGUGUUCACCCUGCAGCAGCGGGUGCAGGUGGAGAGACGGGCACGGGAUGCAGCGGAGGAAAACAUCCAGGAGGAGCUGGGGCAGUGCCGGGCUGCCCUGGAGAGGCUGGGCCGAUCGUGUGCCAGUGCAGGCUGCAAGGAGACGCUGGAGCAGCUGCAGCACAACCUGGCCGUGCUGGCAGCAGCUGUGGAGAGGGCAACCAGCGCUGCAGAGAAGCUGGGGGCUGUGCACCAGGUGUGUCACAGCCCGGUGUGGGAGCGAUGGAGGUGCUACAGAUGGGCUUGGGGAUGGUGAAGCCUCAUCCCUGGGCUUGCUGGGGUUUGUUCCUCCUCCUCACAGUUCUUGAUCUCACUUUUGUGCUUAGCAGGGUGCAAGGGAUCCAUUCACCCACCCCUGGGAGUGGGAAGGGGAUGCACCUUGGCCAAGGCUUUGCACAGGCACGUGGGGCUUCAAGCAGCUCUCUGUCCCCCUAGAUCUCUCCUAAAUUUCUUGUCCUGGACAAAAAAAUUCUCCUUCUGUCCUAAAUCUGUGUGUCCAUGGGCACCGGGACAGUCCCUUCACCCUGGGCUGGGAGAGGGACUUGGUGAACUUUCUGCAUCCUUCUCUGACUCUUUCAACAUUGUAAAACAGCUUAAAUGGGUUCUCCAAGCUCGCUUAUAUUUGGAAAUGUUUAAUAUGUGUCUCUCCCUGGCACUCCCUGUGUACUGGAGCCUUAGGCAGAGCCCUGUUGGUUAGGGCAUACAGCUGUUAACUAUCAUGGGAUCAAAGCCCAUCUGUCCAGUAAAUGGAAGGUCCUAGCUUAAUGAAAGCACCUGAGUUGCAUUUAAGGGAUGCAGGGUAAUGGCCUGUGGACUUUAGCAGAAACUAAAAGGGUUUUUAACUCUUGUUUAAGGCUUUGAAGACCUUCAGUUUAGGUAAUCCUAACUUUCUUAGAUAAUGGUAAGGAUUACAGGGGAGAGUGGAAGGACUCCCAGGGACGGGGAGGCACUGGCA
This 1372-nucleotide long non-coding RNA is filed under the name Junco hyemalis (dark-eyed junco). RNAcentral describes it as "lncRNA (ENSJHYG00000016790.1)". Lineage: Eukaryota; Metazoa; Chordata; Aves; Passeriformes; Passerellidae. The record is from RNAcentral.